AGAGAGGGACAUGGAAUUCCGGGUGUAGUGGUGAAAUGCGUAGAGAUCCGGAGGAACACCAGAGGCGAAGGCGGUGUCCUGGCUCUGACCUGACGCUCAGACACGAAAGCAUGGGUAGCGAACGGGAUUAGAAACCCCGGUAGUCCAUGCUGUAAACGAUGCAGACUAGGCGUCGGCGGUCUCAACCCCGUCGGUGCCGCAGCUAACGCAUUAAGUCUGCCGCCUGGGGACUACGGCCGCAAGGCUAAAACUCAAAGGAAUUGACGGGGGCCCGCACAAGCAGCGGAGCGUGUGGUUUAAUUCGAGGCUACACGAAGAACCUUACCUGGGCUUGACAUAGAGGUGGUAGGGAAGUGAAAGCGGACCGACCUUCGGGAGCCUCUACAGGUGCUGCAUGGCUGUCGUCAGCUCGUGCCGUGAGGUGUUAGGUUAAGUCCUGUAACGAGCGCAACCCUCGGGCCUAGUUACACGUUGUCUAGGCCGACCGCCCGCGAUAAGCCGGGAGGAAGGUGGGGAUGACGUCAAGUCAGCAUGGCCUUUAUGUCCAGGGCUACACACACGCUACAAUGGCCGACACAAUGGGUCGCCAACCCGCGAGGGGGAGCCAAUCCAGAGAAAGUCGGUCUCAGUUCGGAUUGUGGGCUGCAACUCGCCCACAUGAAGUCGGAGUUGCUAGUAACCGCCGGUCAGCUAUACGGCGGUGAAUACGUUCCCGGGCCUUGUACACACCGCCCGUCACGUCAUGGGAGCUGGUCACGCCUGAAGAUGGUGGGCUAACCUAACGGAGGCAGCCAUUUAGGGUAGGGCCGGUGACUGGGACGAAGUCGUAACAAGGUAGCUGUAGCGGAAGCUGCGGCUGGAUCACCU
Molecule: ribosomal RNA, 867 nt
Filed under: uncultured bacterium
Lineage: Bacteria
Description: bacterial SSU rRNA
Rfam family: Bacterial small subunit ribosomal RNA
Source: RNAcentral